Molecule: long non-coding RNA, 1036 nt
Organism: Callithrix jacchus (white-tufted-ear marmoset)
Lineage: Eukaryota; Metazoa; Chordata; Mammalia; Primates; Cebidae
Source: RefSeq, a predicted model, not a curated record
GACAGGCCUCUGGCGACAUCACAGAGGUGGACCUUCAGCAACUUCACACUGAGGUGUGUUGCCUAGGAGCUGGGUUGUCUUCUCCGCAGAGCAGAGUCUUCUAACCUCCACCUCCCGCUGUGUCCUGUGUGCUGGUGGCUGGAGAAGGUUCUGAAGGCCAGAAUUCUAAAGUCAGUCCCACUGACUCAAGGUGGGAGCAGGGCAGGUACCUUCCCAGGCUCUGUAGGAGAAUGAGUGUCCUGGCCCUGGAGGCUUCCUGCACUCUUCAGCUUGUGCUGCCAUUCUUGAAUGACUCACGGUUCCUGCUUCCAUCACUACACUUUCCAUCGCUCUCCAUCACCUGCUCUGCUCUGAUACGGAUCUGGUCAUUGCAGCACAAGAAAGACGUCCUUGUCUGAUACUCCCCUUAUCCACACAAUUAGAAGUAAAUUAAAAGCAUCAAUUUCAAGUCACUGCUGUAGUUGUGGAAAGAUGCUGCACUGUUGCCACAGAGGUCCGUCCCCACAUGUGACACCCAGGAUUUGGUCCUGGCCUCACAGGACCCCAGGAUGACAGCUCACAAAGGGCUUGCCUGCUUAUUUACUUCCAACUCUUGAAAGCUUAAAGAAAUUGCUCCUGAUGGGUUGAGUGCCUUAUCUAGGGACACCCAGUUUGUGACAUAGCCAGGAGGAAAAUACAGUUUAGUUUGCUCUCACAGGUGAGUCACCAAAAACAUCCUAUAAAAAGACCUUUUGAGAAACUGUAACCCAGUUAAAGCUACUGAAAAAUUCUUGCCUUAAAGCCUCCAUAUUCAUUUUACUUGGCUUUCUGUGGGUUUUCUUUCCUGGGAGACAAGUCGUAUUAUUUGGAAACAGUUAAGUGGUACAGACUGAGUGUUUUGCUGUGUUAAUUUUAAUUAAAGAACAGUGUGCUAUCCAUCACACACUUUAAUCCCCUGCUGUGUUGUUUCUGUUAGUCAUUCAGGAAAACAACUGAGGUAUCAUUUAACCAUGGAAAAGUGCGUGUUUCAUUGAUGAAAAGCAUAAGUUUUAGUCCA